Molecule: ribosomal RNA, 603 nt
Filed under: uncultured fungus
Lineage: Eukaryota; Fungi
Description: eukaryotic LSU rRNA
Rfam family: Eukaryotic large subunit ribosomal RNA
Source: RNAcentral
ACCCGCUGAACUUAAGCAUAUCAAUAAGCGGAGGAAAAGAAACCAACAGGGAUUGCCUUAGUAACGGCGAGUGAAGCGGCAACAGCUCAAAUUUGAAAUCUGGCCUCUUUGGGGUCCGAGUUGUAAUUUGCAGAGGGCGCUUUGGCGUUGGCAGCGGUCCAAGUUCCUUGGAACAGGACGUCACAGAGGGUGAGAAUCCCGUACGUGGUCGCUAGCCUUCGCCGUGUAAAGCCCCUUCGACGAGUCGAGUUGUUUGGGAAUGCAGCUCUAAAUGGGAGGUAAAUUUCUUCUAAAGCUAAAUACUGGCCAGAGACCGAUAGCGCACAAGUAGAGUGAUCGAAAGAUGAAAAGCACUUUGGAAAGAGAGUCAAAUAGCACGUGAAAUUGUUGAAAGGGAAGCGCUUGCAGCCAGACUUGCCUGUAGUUGCUUAUCCGGACUUUUGUCCGGUGCACUCUUCUGCGGGCAGGCCAGCAUCAGUUUAGGCGGUUGGAUAAAGGUCUCUGUCAUGUACCUCUCUUCGGGGAGGCCUUAUAGGGGAGACGACAUGCAACCAGCCUGGACUGAGGUCCGCGCAUCUGCUAGGAUGCUGGCGUAAUGGCUGU